This 855-nucleotide long non-coding RNA is filed under the name Coturnix japonica (Japanese quail). Its description in RNAcentral is "lncRNA (ENSCJPG00005013361.1)". Lineage: Eukaryota; Metazoa; Chordata; Aves; Galliformes; Phasianidae. The record is from RNAcentral.
CUAAGGGCCUGGUUCCAGUAAAAGCAGGAGGUAUCAGUCGCUCUCCUGCCUACUCUGUUCUUCUUCCCCUUGCCUCUGUUCUCAGCUGCUUGAUCUUUUCCUCCUUUGCGUCACUGUGGCACUCAUCUGUUCGUACGAUGUGAGUCUUUCCUGCGUGCUGUGAUCACACAGAAGACUGUCUGCACAUCUACUUACGUGGAAUCCAGGGAGGCUGUGGGAGUUUGCUUUUUGCCUGCUCUGUGGGGGCCUCCUGUGGCCUGAAUUAGAUGGCUGCUUCUCUUACUGUGAGGCGAAAAGAUCCCGUGACUUAGACUUGUGAGAGUGGUGCGGAUCAUGCCAAGAUCAGAAAGAAGCAGUCGCUUUCCUGUGUGUUUUGAAACGUUGCAUUUCCAUGGCAGGUACUCACAUCAAGGGAAAAACAGGCAGCGUAAUAAUGGAUGUGACAGUCUGCAAAAUGCUGUGUGCUGUGUCAAAAUAAUCCAGUCCAUAACCAAGAUACCCUCUGGAUGCCACCACCUCAUUGGAAGACAAGGAACAGGCAGUAGAAGACAUAAGAAGUGUUCUGAGAAGAGAGACACAGGAUAUGGCAGUAUUAUUGUCAACUUUAAUUUCAGUAUUUUUGGAUUUUCAUGUUCUGGUUAGCUGUUGAAGAAAAUGGAGAGAACAUAAGUAACCCCUAAGAAAGCAUGUAUUUUCAAGUCUUCAAUGUGAAAACUUCAUUUAUGAUUAAUUGUGGGUAAUGCAGUUGGAUGGUUUGCACAUGGUCAGAAAGCUUUUCUAUUUAAUCCCUUAGUGUGAUGUUUACUUCUUUCUUUAAAAAAUAAAAAUAAAAAAAAUAGCUUUUAUGUUUGUACA